UUUUCACAAAAACAACCAUGGUCUUCUCUUCAUACAGCCACACAAAAAUAUAAUUUUAAAUCUCAACCUUGCUAUUUCAGGCAGCAAAAAUAUACUCCCAAAUGCCAAUACUGUGAUCAACUUGGCCAUGUUGCAAAACACUGUCCUAAGUUACACACCAGGAAGGCUACAGCCCACUGCAUCACCGCUUCUUAAAGUCUAGAUCAGCGUUGGCUCAUUGACUCUGCUGCAUCGCAUAACAUCAUCUCUCAAGUAUCCAAUCUGCACUUACACUCUGAAUAUGAUGGCAUGAUGAAGUGCUCAUUGGAGAUGGUUCAGGAUCAAUAGACGAGAAAGAUUCUUCUUCAAGGACCAUGUGAGAAUGAUGUUUAUCCUCUACCUCAUCCCUCUGUCUCCACUCCUAUUGCAAUGGUUCAUGAAUGCACGUCUAUAAAUGGCUAGCAUCAGCGCCUAAGCCACCCUUCCUCAAAAGUUAUAGAUAAAAUGAUCUCCUCAUUUUCUCUUCCAGUUUCUAGUAAUUCCUCUAUAUCUCAUUUUUGUGAUUCCUGUUCUAUUAAUAAAUCUCAUCGCCUGCCUUUUCAUAAA
Long non-coding RNA from Populus euphratica (Euphrates poplar), 585 nucleotides. RefSeq lists it as uncharacterized. Lineage: Eukaryota; Viridiplantae; Streptophyta; Magnoliopsida; Malpighiales; Salicaceae. The transcript has 2 exons. The record is from RefSeq and is a predicted model, not a curated record.